ACAGUAUUCAAAGCUUAGAUGCAGGUUCACUUUGUUUUGAUGAUUAUUGUGACUGGAAAAGAUACCUUCCUAUAAAAAAUGUAGAUUUCAAAUGGAGAUAUGUCACAUAAGUUCAAAUUACUAAAAUUUUUAGUUCUGUUCACUAAAUAUCAAAAGGGCUUUUAUUGACAUUUUCAUCUUCCCUGAUAAAAACUGUUAAAAAUCAACCAGAAAUUGUUAUAUUUUCAAGGGGAACAUUCAAAAUUCAUUGAUUUUAUUUAUGUAGGAGAUUUUUUAACUGAUUAGAAAGACCUGUUACCAAGUUGAGUUUGAGUGUUUUUUAAACAAUACAGAGGUAGAGUCUCCCUGUAUUGCCCACACUGGCUUCCAGCUCUUGGGUCCAAGCAGUUCUUCUGCUUCAGCCUCCUGAGUAACUAGAACUACAAGUGUGCCCCACUUGAGAUUUUUAAAAAAUAGGUGUCACAUACUGAUUUUGGUCACAAAAAUCAUACAGUGUUUCCUUAAUAAUUGUAUUCUUCAUAGUUUGAGUUUAUUUUAAAGAGCAAUUUUUUUUUUAGUGUUUUUGUUGUUAAAAUGCCACCUUUACUGGAACAGACAGAUUAAUAUCUGUCAAAUAUAUG
This 620-nucleotide long non-coding RNA is filed under the name Marmota monax (woodchuck). The record is from RNAcentral. Lineage: Eukaryota; Metazoa; Chordata; Mammalia; Rodentia; Sciuridae.